RNAcentral lists this ribosomal RNA (435 nucleotides) under uncultured fungus. RNAcentral describes it as "LSU rRNA". It matches the Rfam family "Eukaryotic large subunit ribosomal RNA", at positions 38 to 469 of the family's 3401-position model. Lineage: Eukaryota; Fungi. The record is from RNAcentral.
GCAUAUCAAUAAGCGGAGGAAAAGAAAAUAACAAUGAUUCCCUUAGUAACGGCGAGUGAAGGGGGAAAAGCUCAAAUUUUAAAUCUGCUAGGUUUUACUUAUCAGAAUUGUAAUUUGAAGAAGCGUUUUCCGCGUCUCGGUUGGCCCAAAUCCUUUGGGAUAAGGUAUCAUGGAGGGUGAGAAUCCCGUUCGGUUGACCUUAUGACGCUCUACGAUACGCUCUCUAAGAGUCGAGUUGUUUGGGAUUGCAGCUCAAAAUGGGAGGUAAAUUUCUCCUAAGGCUAAAUAUCGGCGAGAGACCGAUAGCGAACAAGUACCGUGAGGGAAAGAUGAAAAGAACUUUGAAAAGAGAGUAAAAUAGUACGUGAAAUUGUUGAAAGGGAAACGAUUGAAGUCAGUCGUACCGACGAGAAAUCAACUUAUCGUGUGCGAACU